UUUUUAUUGAGAGUUUGAUCCUGGCUCAGGACGAACGCUGGCGGUAUGCUUAACACAUGCAAGUCGAACGAGAAAGUUUUGAAUGAUCCUUCGGGUGAAAUUAGAACUGGAAAGUGGCGAACGGGUGAGUAACGCGUGGGUAACCUGCCCUAUGGAAAGGAAUAGCCUCG
This 170-nucleotide ribosomal RNA is filed under the name Eubacterium callanderi. RNAcentral's name for it is "16S rRNA. Bacterial SSU". It matches the Rfam family "Bacterial small subunit ribosomal RNA", at positions 1 to 151 of the family's 1533-position model. The record is from RNAcentral. Lineage: Bacteria; Bacillati; Bacillota; Clostridia; Eubacteriales; Eubacteriaceae.